Pan troglodytes (chimpanzee) is the source of this 1660-nucleotide long non-coding RNA. RefSeq lists it as uncharacterized. The record is from RefSeq and is a predicted model, not a curated record. NCBI's taxonomy places the organism in Eukaryota, Metazoa, Chordata, Mammalia, Primates, Hominidae. The transcript is spliced from 2 exons.
CCCACCCCGCGGAUGCGCUGGAUCUCGAGGGCGCAGAACUCGGAGUGGCGAGGAGAAGCGGGAGGGCAGAUUGAGCGCGCGUGGGGCUCGUGAGCCCGGGGACUGGGAGUAAAAACAACUACCUCAAGCAGGAGGCUCAGUCCCCGCCAACACUCGCUGGGAUAACUCUCGAUAGGACGGAGGAGGAGCCCCCCAAUGGGACCCUCCUCAGUGCAAUGGAUGGGACCCUCCUCAGUGCGAUGGAUACAGGGUCUCUCUCUGUCGCCCAGGCUGGAGUGCAGUGGCGCGAUCCCGGCUCACUGCAGCAGCCUCAACUUCCAGAGUUCAAGGGAUCCUCCCACCCCAACCUCCCGAGUAGCUGAGACUACACGAAUGUACCACCACGCCCGGCUAAGUUUUGUGUUUCUCGUAGAAACGUGGUUUCGCCAUGUUGCCCAGGCUGUUCUCAAACUCCUGACCUCGGGUGAUCUGCCAGCCUCGGCCUCCCAAAGUGCUAGGAUUACAAGCAGAACCACCGCGUCUCUUUUUUGUUUUUGUUUUGUUGUUGUUGUUACAGAGUUUCGCUCUUGUCGCCCAGGCUGGGAUGCAAUGGUGUGAUCUCGGCUCAUUGCAGCCUCCGCCUCCCGGGUUCAAGCAAUUCUCCUGCCUCAGCCUCGUGAGUAGCUGGGAUUGCAGGAGCCGGCCACCAUGCCCGGCUAAUUUUUUGUAUUUUUAGUAUAGACGGGGUUUCACCAUCUUGGCCAGGCUGGUCUCUAACUCCUGACCUCUGAUGAUCCACCCACCUCAGCCUCCCAAAGUGCUGAGAUUACGAACGUGAGCCACCACGUCCAGCCUGACUGCUUUUUCUUAUAUCACUUUUUUUGUUGUGGUAAAAUAUAACAAAAUUUGCUAUUUUAACCAUUUUUAGUGUACAAUUCAAUGGCAUUCUGUAUACUCACAUUGUCGUGCAACCAGCACCACUAUGGGUCUCCGGAACUCUUUUAUCUUCCCAAACUGAAACUUUGUGUCUAUGAAACAAUAAGUCGGGAUUCCCUUCUCUCCUAGUCCCUGGGAACCACUAUUUCUACUUUCUCACUAUGAAUUUGACUAUUCCUGGUUCCUCAUGUCAGUGGAAUCAUGCAGUAUUUGUCUGGCUUAUUUCACGUAGCAUAAUGUCCUCAAGGUUUCUCCAUGUUGUAGCAUGAGUCCGAAUUUCACUCAUUUUUAAGACUGAAAAAUAUUUCGUCGUGUGCAUACACCACCUCGUUUUUAUCCAUUCAUCUGUCAAUGGACUUAGGUUGUUUCCACCUUUUGGCUAUUGUGAAGAAUGUCGGUUAACAUUGGUAUACAAAUACCUGUUUGAGCCCCUGCUUUCCAUUUUUGGGAGUUGCCAUCAUUUUGAAGCCAAACCAAGGAGAAAGCUCUCCCCUCCCACCUGAGGGAGCAGCAUUUGUUAUUUUAGGAAGUGGGGUUGAGAAGGUGUAACAGCACCCCAGACUGACCACAGCGGCCACGACUGCACACAGGGGAACUUUGCCUCGCUCGACACUACAGGGUGAAAGAAACACAGAAGUUGUCAAGGAACGUGGCCUCUCUUUCUCUCUCAUCUUUCCAGGUGUCUUGUUUCUUUGCUUUAGUCCAGAGGUUUCACUUGCUGAAUAAACUGCCUUGAAAUGUCCAA